RNAcentral lists this ribosomal RNA (354 nucleotides) under uncultured Veillonellaceae bacterium. Its description in RNAcentral is "bacterial SSU rRNA". It matches the Rfam family "Bacterial small subunit ribosomal RNA", at positions 1 to 339 of the family's 1533-position model. Lineage: Bacteria; Bacillati; Bacillota; Negativicutes; Veillonellales; Veillonellaceae. The record is from RNAcentral.
AGUAGUUUGAUCAGUGGCUCGAGGACGACGCUGGCGGCGUGCUUAACACAUGCAAGUCGAACGGGACUUUUUGGAGCUUGCUCUAAAAAGUCUAGUGGCAAACGGGUGAGUAACGCGUAGACAACCUGCCAUAAAGAUUGGGACAACAGCUCGAAAGAGCUGCUAAUACCAAAUGUUGCUAUUAAUUCGCAUGAGGGAAUAGUUAAAGAUGGCCUCUAUUUAUAAGCUAUCGCUUUAUGAUGGGUCUGCGUCCGAUUAGCUGGUUGGGGAGGUAACGGCUCACCAAGGCGACGAUCGGUAGCCGAUCUGAGAGGAUGACCGGCCACAUUGGGACUGAGACACGGCCCAGACUCC